AAAAAAGCUGUAUAUCUUGGUAUGGACGUAUGAAUACCCAAAGAACUUUCAAAUUUCAUGGUAUGAGAUCCUUAAGACUCUUACUGUACCUUGACCUUCAAAUUUUAAUCUGUUUUAAUUAUAUGUCUGCUUACUUAUGUAUAUAGCCUGCCUCCUUUCACAGACUAUUUAAGCCAGCCAAGCUUUAACUUGUUCAGAACCUUAGGUGGUGUUCAAACCAACGAAGACUGCAUUCCUCAAGUCUUCAGAAGGAAUAUAAAAAGUUGCUAAGUUAUGCAGUGAAAAUACAAGUAUCAUUUUUUCCAGAUUACACAAAGUUAUUAGCAGUGGUGAUUCAGAUAUUUCCUGUGAAAUACGCUGUGGGUAAAUGUAUUACAGACCCAUGUAGAUCGAACAGUUUACGCCCUGCUUCCAGCUAAAACGUAUUACAAGGAAUAAGAGAUAGAAUUCUGCCCUGGUGCCAUUUGGGCUACGCAGACCACAGUGGGAGAGUCUCUGGUUGGAAUCACCACCGUCCUUGAAGGUGACUGGCUACCCCCUGAACUCUGCCUGGUAACAAGAAGAGGAUAAGGAGUUUCCCUGCUAUCCCAGUUACUGACGGUCACUGAAAUGAUGAAUCCUGCCCGAUUUAGUGCUUUUACAAAUCGAGAUCAUAUGAAAGAUUUCCGAAGGUACCUGGCAUUCAAAUAUAUCCAGUAUCUAGUCCUACCUUCUACAAACAUCAUCGUUACUCUGCUGGGACUGUUUGCCAGUCUGUAUGUCACACUGAUACUGAUGUCACCUUCUGUAUCCAGAAAAUCCACUGCAGUGUUUAUUUGCAACAUAGCUCAGGCAGACAUGUUAGUUGUCGGCAGCAUCUUUUCUGCCAUAAUUCAACAUGUAAUAAAGAACAACAUAUUAUUGUCUUCCUUUCAGUCAGCCUUGAGGCAAAAUUUCCAGAUUGCAAAUAUACAUAUCAGUUCACUUUUACUCAGCUGUGUGAGCCUCGAGGCCUUUCUGAUCACUUUUCUUCCAGCAGAAACACGCCACAUAAGAACAGUUAGAAGUGCCAGGGUGGUUUCUAAAAUUAUUUGGAUUACUGUAAUUACUGAGUGUUUUUUUUAUCAGAUAGAGUGUGUCAAAGAACUGGGCAUUUCUUCUCUUGGCAUGCACAAGAAAAUUGUGUUGUUGCUAAAUUUCUGUUUCGGAGCCACAAAGCUACUGAAAUCACUCAUUUACCCAAUUGGGCUACUUUUAAGGAUCUUCAAUGUGUAUCUUUUUUAUAAAAUAUAUUUCAGAGCUGUACCUUGAAACAGUCUGUGGUAGUUGAUUGUAUAGGUCAACUUGACUACACUAUGGUGCCCAGUUCUUUAGUCAGACACUAAUUUAGAUGUUGCUAUGAAGAUAUUUUGUAGAUGUGAUAUGCAUAUAUGAUUAGUUGCCUUUAGGUGAAAGAAAUCACCCUUAAUAAUGUUGGUGGGCCUCAUCUAAUCAGUUGAAUAUCCUAUGAAAAACAACUGAGGUUUCACAGUUAAGAAGAAAUUCUGCCUCAAGACUGGUAACAUAGAAAUCCUGUUUGAAUUUCCACCCUAGUCACCUGCCCUACAGAUUUUAGAAUCAAGACUCCAUCACCAAUUCUUGUCUGAAGCUUCUGUCUGCUUUACAAAUUUUGGGCUUUCUAGACCCCACAAUCAUGUGAGUCAAUUACUUAAAGAAUGAAAAUAAAAAA
This is a long non-coding RNA of Phyllostomus discolor (pale spear-nosed bat), 1708 nucleotides long. RefSeq lists it as uncharacterized. NCBI's taxonomy places the organism in Eukaryota, Metazoa, Chordata, Mammalia, Chiroptera, Phyllostomidae. The record is from RefSeq and is a predicted model, not a curated record. The transcript has 4 exons.